This 407-nucleotide ribosomal RNA is filed under the name uncultured eukaryote. RNAcentral describes it as "SSU rRNA". It matches the Rfam family "Eukaryotic small subunit ribosomal RNA", at positions 567 to 990 of the family's 1831-position model. The record is from RNAcentral.
CCAGCAGCUGCGGUAAUUCCAGCUCCAAUAGCGUAUAUUAAAGUUGUUGCAGUUAAAAAGCUCGUAGUUGAACUUCUGCGUACCUUCAGUUCUGGCUUUGGUCAAGCUGUCGCGUGCGCAUCCGCUUGCAAACCUGGACCGGCCUUCACUGGUCGACCAGGGGAGUAAGCCCUUUACUUUGAAAAAAUUAGAGUGUUUCAGGCAGGCAAUGGCUCGAAUACAUUAGCAUGGAAUAAUGGAAUAGGACUUUUGUCCAUUUGGUUGGUUAUUGGACAUGAGUAAUGAUUAAAAGGGACAGUUGGGGGCAUUAGUAUUUAAUAGUCAGAGGUGAAAUUCUUGGAUUUAUUAAAGACUAACUUAUGCGAAAGCAUUUGCCAAGGAUGUUUUCAUUAAUCAAGAACGAAAGU